GGCACACAGAAACCAGAUGCACUGUGGGACCCUGAGGGGUCUGGGGUGCUGAAAGUAGGCAGAAGUGGGCUGUGACAGGAGAUACUUGGAGAUGCCUGUGCUGUGGCUGCUGUUUCUGCUGCCGCUCCUGCCCCUGCUGGCCAUGCUCUGCCAGCAGAGAUCUCCGGGUGCCAGACCAUGCUGGCUGAUCAGUCUCCAGCACCGGGUGGCUUGCGUGGUGCUGAGCUGGGCAGCCGCCUGGCAGCGGCGGAAACUAGAACAGAGCACACUGAACGUGAGCCAGAGCCAGCAGCAGGCCCUCAUGGGGUGUCUGAAGGAAGCCCAGGGUUCCUGCUGUCUCCCCAGGGAGAACACAGACAUGACCACCUUCCGGAAUCUUCCACUGACAAAAACCAGCCACACCCAGCAGAAAGAAAGUGAA
This 421-nucleotide long non-coding RNA is filed under the name Rattus norvegicus (Norway rat). RNAcentral's name for it is "long non-coding RNA NONRATT006028". Lineage: Eukaryota; Metazoa; Chordata; Mammalia; Rodentia; Muridae. The record is from RNAcentral.